UGGAAGUGGGAGAGAACACUUAGGAAAGAGAUCUCAAAGAAAAAUCUCCCAAAAGCACAAAAGGGCCAUUCAAAGCAAAAUAGAGAGAAGAAGAGCAUCCAAGUGAAUCCCAAAGCUUCCUCUUCAACUGUGUGCUGCCUCAGUGAUCUUCUAUCUCGUGCCAAAUCAGAAGAGGGUCAAGUAAAGAAGAAGCCGAGUUCCUUCAUCUACGAAUUUGUUUGAGGGCUUCUUCUCU
This 235-nucleotide long non-coding RNA is filed under the name Phoenix dactylifera (date palm). RNAcentral's name for it is "long non-coding RNA (PDAC_LNC015925)". Lineage: Eukaryota; Viridiplantae; Streptophyta; Magnoliopsida; Arecales; Arecaceae. The record is from RNAcentral.